GCUACAGUUGGUAUCAAAGCUGUUGGUUAUGAAGCUUAGGUAGCAAUACCUGAGACCAAUAACCGCAGUGAUUAGGAUAAGUACUAACUCACAUAGAGUUAGUUGAAGAAUCUCGCAGGGUCAAAAAGUUAGGUUUAAGUAUGGUACCAUUGUACUCGAAACUAGUUGAUGUAUGGUAUCUGGGCUAAACGAUUCCUUCAUAGAGCGGAGGUAUAUACGAACUAGCAACUCGGAACCUAGUUUGUUGGUUGUUUGUGGGAAACCACUCAGCGUACCAUAUUGAAAACUGUUAGAGACUCGAUGUGUACCAAGUAUAGGAAGUGGAUAGAUAGAGUCUAAGAGAUUACAAGUGUAAGGAUAAGAGAUCGUAAAACAAAACGAUCACAGAAUAGCAAUGAAUCGUAAUAUAUACGAUGAGAUCACUCCGUGAUCUGAUAAGAUUAUGGUAUGAAGAAAGAUCAAGAGAAUGAUGAAAAGUUUACAGCAAGAUUGCUGUGUAUGAAUUGUACUAUAAAUUGGUACAGAUCCAGAAGAGAAUUAUAAAUACGAAUUAAAUUCGUAUGGAGAAUGGGG
This 573-nucleotide long non-coding RNA is filed under the name Panax ginseng (ginseng). RNAcentral's name for it is "long non-coding RNA (PGIN_LNC004703)". Lineage: Eukaryota; Viridiplantae; Streptophyta; Magnoliopsida; Apiales; Araliaceae. The record is from RNAcentral.